Molecule: ribosomal RNA, 484 nt
Filed under: uncultured bacterium
Lineage: Bacteria
Description: partial 16S ribosomal RNA
Rfam family: Bacterial small subunit ribosomal RNA
Source: RNAcentral
AUUGAACGCUGGCGGCAUGCUUUACACAUGCAAGUCGAACGGCAGCGCGGGCUUCGGCCUGGCGGCGAGUGGCGAACGGGUGAGUAAUGCAUCGGAACGUGCCCAGUAGUGGGGGAUAGCCCGGCGAAAGCCGGAUUAAUACCGCAUACGACCUGAGGGUGAAAGCGGGGGACCGAAAGGCCUCGCGCUAUUGGCGCGGCCGAUGUCGGAUUAGCUAGUUGGUGGGGUAAAGGCUUACCAAGGCGACGAUCCGUAGCUGGUCUGAGAGGACGACCAGCCACACUGGGACUGAGACACGGCCCAGACUCCUACGGGAGGCAGCAGUGGGGAAUUUUGGACAAUGGGGGCAAGCCUGAUCGAGCCAUGCCGCGUGCGGGAAGAAGGCCUUCGGGUUGUAAACCGCUUUUGUUCGGGAAGAAAACCUCUGGGAUAAUCCCCCGGGGGGAUGACGGUACCGGAAGAAUAAGCACCGGCUAACUACGUG